Non-coding RNA from Plenodomus tracheiphilus IPT5, 94 nucleotides. Lineage: Eukaryota; Fungi; Ascomycota; Dothideomycetes; Pleosporales; Leptosphaeriaceae. The record is from the annotation of a GenBank genome assembly.
UCCUCCGUGGCGCAAUUGGCUAGCGCGUUCGACUGUUAAUUCUACUUGCAUAUUGACUAUCGAGAGGUUGAAAGUUCGAGCCUUUCCGGGGGAG